UGAAUACGAGACGCUAAGGCGUCGAAGUAGUGUAUGUCAUACUUCCAAGAAAAGCUUGCACUGUCAUAGAUAAAAAACGCCUGUACCAUAACCGACACAGGUGGGUAGGUAGAGUAUACUAAGGGGCGCGAGAUAACUCUCUCUAAGGAACUCGGCAAAAUAACUCCGUAACUUCGGGAGAAGGAGUGCCUCAUUCGUAAGGUUGCAAUAACAAGAUCCAAGCAACUGUUUAUCAAAAACACAGGUCUCCGCUAAGUCGUAAGACGAUGUAUGGGGGCUGACGCCUGCCCAGUGCCAGAAGGUUAAAGAAGUUGGUUAGCAAUUGCGAAGCUGAUAACUGAAGCCCUGGUGAACGGCGGCCGUAACUAUAACGGUCCUAAGGUAGCGAAAUUCCUUGUCGGGUAAGUUCCGACCCGCACGAAAGGCGUAAUGAUUUGGAUACUGUCUCGGAGAGGGCUCGGUGAAAUAGACUUGUCUGUGAAGAUGCGGACUACCUGCACCAGGACAGAAAGACCCUAUGAAGCUUUACUGUAACUUGAAAUUGAAAUUGGACUUUAUUCGCGCAGUAUAGGUGGGAGGCGUUGAUUAUAAUCUUGUGGGAUUAUUGGAGCCAUCAGUGAGAUACCACUCUUGUAAUGUUAGAUUUCUAACUUUGAAUCAUUAUCUGGUCAAAGAACAGUUUCAGGCGGGCGGUUUGACUGGGGCGGUCGCCUCCUAAACGGUAACGGAGGCGUACAAAGGUUUCCUCUGAACGGUUAGAAAUCGUAUCUAGAGUGUAAAGGCAUAAGGAAGCUUGACUGUGAGACCUACAAGUCGAGCAGGGACGAAAGUCGGUCUUAGUGAUCUGACGGUACUGAGUGGAAAGGCCGUCACUCAACGGAUAAAAGUUACUCUAGGAUAACAGGCUGAUCUCCCCCAAGAGUUCACAUCGACGGGGAGGUUUGGCACCUCGAUGUCGGCUCAUCGCAUCCUGGGGCGGUAGUACGUCCCAAGGGUUGGGCUGUUCGCCCAUGAAAGCGGUACGCGAGCUGGGUUCAGAACGUCGUGAGACAGUUCGGUCCAUAUCCGGUGUAGGCGUUAGAAUAUUGAGAGGAGCCUUCUUUAGUACGAGAGGACCGAGAAGGACAUACCUCUGGUGUACCAGUUAUCGUGCCAACGGUAAACGCUGGGUAGCUAUGUAUGGAGUGGAUAACCGCUGAAAGCAUCUAAGUGGGAAGCCCACCUCAAGAUAAGUAUUCUCAUC
This 1243-nucleotide ribosomal RNA is filed under the name metagenome. Its description in RNAcentral is "bacterial LSU rRNA". It matches the Rfam family "Bacterial large subunit ribosomal RNA", at positions 1564 to 2818 of the family's 2925-position model. The record is from RNAcentral.